RNAcentral lists this ribosomal RNA (466 nucleotides) under Vreelandella stevensii. RNAcentral describes it as "partial 16S ribosomal RNA". It matches the Rfam family "Bacterial small subunit ribosomal RNA", at positions 338 to 795 of the family's 1533-position model. Lineage: Bacteria; Pseudomonadati; Pseudomonadota; Gammaproteobacteria; Oceanospirillales; Halomonadaceae. The record is from RNAcentral.
CCUACGAGGUGGCUGCAGUGGGGAAUAUUGGACAAUGGGCGAAAGCCUGAUCCAGCCAUGCCGCGUGUGUGAAGAAGGCCUUCGGGUUGUAAAGCACUUUCAGUGGGGAAGAAAGCCUUGGGGCUAAUACCCUCGAGGAAGGACAUCACCCACAGAAGAAGCACCGGCUAACUCCGUGCCAGCAGCCGCGGUAAUACGGAGGGUGCGAGCGUUAAUCGGAAUUACUGGGCGUAAAGCGCGCGUAGGCGGUCUGAUAAGCCGGUUGUGAAAGCCCCGGGCUCAACCUGGGAACGGCAUCCGGAACUGUCAGGCUAGAGUGCAGGAGAGGAAGGUAGAAUUCCCGGUGUAGCGGUGAAAUGCGUAGAGAUCGGGAGGAAUACCAGUGGCGAAGGCGGCCUUCUGGACUGACACUGACGCUGAGGUGCGAAAGCGUGGGUAGCAAACAGGAUUAGAUACCCCAGUAGUC